Long non-coding RNA from Oreochromis aureus, 374 nucleotides. Lineage: Eukaryota; Metazoa; Chordata; Actinopteri; Cichliformes; Cichlidae. The record is from Ensembl.
CAUGGAAGCCACGAGGGUAACAGCACCAGGGACAACCAAUUCAAAUGUUCAGUUACAGUUAGGACAUAAUUCUUUCAAGCAUGUGCAAACCUUUAGGACAUCAUACGUUUGCUGUGGCUCCAGAGUGCUGACAAGGAUCAAUAUCCUUGGCUCAUCCUACCAAAGCACUGAAUUCAAGAGGGCCAAGACAACAAACGCCAUGCCUUUCUCUUAUUUUUGGCUCUGAAUCAGUCUGCCAGCAGAAGAUGUAAUGAAAGGAUCGAUGACUGGUGGUCUUCUGUUAGAUGGAGGUGACAGUGGAGAGGUACACUCAGGGUUCAAGGACUGACCGCACCGUGCCGGGCCUCAGUGCAGCCGUCCCCCCGUACCGGAGU